UCACCAUGUGAGUUUCAGGCUACGCCCCUGCCAAUCUCCAGCACGUCAAGCGCGGGUACGAAGUAUUCCCGAUCAGAGAGUUUACUAACCUACUGGGCUUUACUGGUCCCAUACCCAGUAAGUGAUCAGAUGAUUAUCACUUGAUCAAAGGUUAAGACAACGAAUCGAGCCUUAACCAAUUUAAUCUAGCAGACAGAACUACAUCCCUAGCUUCUGCCCGCUUCUCAAUUUCCAUGCCAUCUUUCCAUAAAUAACAUGUAUGACUCAAAAGUUUUCCCUAAGGUUGGUAAACCAAGUAUUUAAGCAACAAAGCAAUUCUAGACUUGGGUUAUCUACUAAAGGUUUGAACAAGUGGCAAAGAUGUCCUUAAAACAAGGGAUGAUAAUGCACAAGAAUGGGUUUCAAGCAACUCCUAGACUUAGUGCAUACAUAUAGCAAAUAGCUGAAUAUAGGACACAUGAAAUAUUGACUUCAAAAUAAUAGGUGUAAUGCACCGGGGCUUGCCUUGUUCGCUUAAAAAGUUAGCACUGUCCGAAGGGUUGGCCUCGCAGGGGACCAGUUCAAAGAUUUCCUCAAACUCCGAAGAUCCUUUUGAAAAUUCCAAGUAAUCUCCUUCUGGCGCUUCGGGGUCUAUAGCAUAACAUAUGC
RNAcentral lists this long non-coding RNA (648 nucleotides) under Setaria viridis. RNAcentral describes it as "long non-coding RNA (SVIR_LNC009808)". Lineage: Eukaryota; Viridiplantae; Streptophyta; Magnoliopsida; Poales; Poaceae. The record is from RNAcentral.